This 400-nucleotide unclassified non-coding RNA is filed under the name soil metagenome. Its description in RNAcentral is "partial contains 5.8S ribosomal RNA, internal transcribed spacer 2, and large subunit ribosomal RNA". The stretch from base 1 to 120 matches the Rfam family "5.8S ribosomal RNA", at positions 35 to 154 of the family's 154-position model. The record is from RNAcentral.
GAUGAAGAACGUAGCGAAAUGCGAUACUUGGUGUGAAUUGCAGAAUCCCGUGAACCAUCGAGUCUUUGAACGCAAGUUGCGCCCGAAGCCUCGGCUAAGGGCACGUCUGCCUGGGCGUCACGCAUCGCGUCUCCCCCAAACCGCCAAGGCGGAGGGGAAGGAAGGUGGCUUCCCGUGCCUCACCCGGGCGCGGUUGGCCUAAAUUUGGAGCCCGCGGCACUUAGCUCUCGCGGCGAUAGGUGGUGAACAAGGCCUUGGCCGUGCAAACAACCCGCUGCGAAGCUCUAUGUCACGUGCGCUCGUCGGACCCUUUGAAGUUGCCUUCGGUGACUUAAAACCUUUGCGACCCCAGGUCAGGCGGGGCUACCCGCUGAAUUUAAGCAUAUCAAUAAGCGGAGGA